GAUGAACGCUGGCGGCGUGCCUAAUACAUGCAAGUCGAACGCUGAAGGAGGAGCUUGCUCUGCUGGAUGAGUUGCGAACGGGUGAGUAACGCGUAGGUAACCUGCCCGGUAGCGGGGGAUAACUAUAGGAAACGAUAGCUAAUACCGCAUGACAACAGCUAUUGCAUGAUAACGGUUGGAAAGGGGCAACUGCUCCACUACCAGAUGGACCUGCGCUGUAUUAGCUAGUUGGUGAGGUAACGGCUCACCAAGGCGAGGAUACAUAGCCGACCGGAGAGGGGGGGCGGCCGCCCUGGGACUGUGACACGGCCCAGACGCCCUCGGGAAGCAGCAGUAGGGCAACGGCGGCCAGGGGCGGAAGACUGUGCGCGCAACGCCGCGGCAGGGUAGAAGGUUGUCGGGUCGUAAAGGUCUGUUGUAGGGGAAGAACGAGCGUGAGAGUGGAAAGUUCACUCUGUGACGGUAACUGAUCAGAAAGGGACGGCUAACUACGUG
Molecule: ribosomal RNA, 495 nt
Filed under: uncultured bacterium
Lineage: Bacteria
Description: partial 16S ribosomal RNA
Rfam family: Bacterial small subunit ribosomal RNA
Source: RNAcentral